AUUGAACGCUGGCGGCAGGCUUAACACAUGCAAGUCGAACGGUAACAUAAAGAAGCUUGCUUCUUUGAUGACGAGUGGCGGGCGGGUGAGUAAUGCUUGGGAAUCUAGCUUAUGGAGGGGGAUAACUACGGGAAACUGUAGCUAAUACCGCGUAAUAUCGAAAGAUUAAAGUGUGGGACCUUCGGGCCACAUGCCAUAAGAUGAGCCCAAGUGGGAUUAGGUAGUUGGUGAGGUAAAGGCUCACCAAGCCGACGAUCUCUAGCUGGUCUGAGAGGAUGACCAGCCACACUGGGACUGAGACACGGCCCAGACUCCUACGGGAGGCAGCAGUGGAGAAUAUUGCGCAAUGGGGGCAACCCUGACGCAGCCAUGCCGCGUGAAUGAAGAAGGCCUUCGGGUUGUAAAGUUCUUUCGGUAGCGAGGAAGGCAUUUAGUUUAAUAGACUAGGUGAUUGACGUAA
RNAcentral lists this ribosomal RNA (460 nucleotides) under Streptococcus sp. oral taxon C14. RNAcentral describes it as "bacterial SSU rRNA". It matches the Rfam family "Bacterial small subunit ribosomal RNA", at positions 30 to 477 of the family's 1533-position model. Lineage: Bacteria; Bacillati; Bacillota; Bacilli; Lactobacillales; Streptococcaceae. The record is from RNAcentral.